Molecule: ribosomal RNA, 165 nt
Filed under: uncultured bacterium
Lineage: Bacteria
Description: partial 16S rRNA
Rfam family: Bacterial small subunit ribosomal RNA
Source: RNAcentral
UAGGGAAUCUUCGGCAAUGGACGAAAGUCUGACCGAGCAACGCCGCGUGAGUGAAGAAGGUUUUCGGAUCGUAAACUCUAGUUGUUAGAGAAGAACAAGGGUGAGAGUAACUGUUCACCCCUUGACGGUUAUCUAACCAGAAAGCCACGGCUAAAUACGUGUCAG